Molecule: non-coding RNA, 79 nt
Organism: Potamilus streckersoni
Lineage: Eukaryota; Metazoa; Mollusca; Bivalvia; Unionida; Unionidae
Source: the annotation of a GenBank genome assembly
AAACCACUUUGGUGGCCUAGUGGUUAGAGCAUCCACUUCAGAUGUGGGAGGUGCUGGGUUUGAACCCUGACCUAGUUUU